Molecule: ribosomal RNA, 478 nt
Filed under: uncultured bacterium
Lineage: Bacteria
Description: partial 16S ribosomal RNA
Rfam family: Bacterial small subunit ribosomal RNA
Source: RNAcentral
GAUGAACGCUGACAGAAUGCUUAACACAUGCAAGUCUACUUGAUUCUACUUCGGUAGUUGAUGGUGGCGGACGGGUGAGUAACGCGUAAAGAAUCUGCCCUUUAGUUUGGGAUAACCUUUGGAAACGGAGGCUAAUACCGGAUAUUAUGGAGACGUCGCAUGACGACUUCAUGAAAGCUAUAUGCGCUAGAGGAGGACUUUGCGUCCCAUUAGUUAGUUGGUGAGGUAAUGGCUUACCAAGACCGCGAUGGGUAGCCGGCCUGAGAGGGUGAUCGGCCACAAGGGAACUGAGACACGGUCCUUACUCCUACGGGAGGCAGCAGUGGGGAAUAUUGGACAAUGGGCCACAAGCCUGAUCCAGCAAUUCUGUGUGCACGAUGAAGGUCUUCGGAUUGUAAAGUGCUUUCAGUAGGGAAGAAAAAAAUGACGGUACCUACAGAAGAAGCGACGGUUAAAUAUGUGCCAGCAGCCGCCGUAA